CUGAGUGUAACUUUACAUUGAAGCCUGAGCUGCAUUCGGUCAGAUUGAACAAAAGAACAUGACGUUGCUGCAUCAGCCCAAAAGUUCCAUAUUCAUUUCAAAAUAUGCUUCUCGCUUUCACCACAUCUCAAGUGGCUCCAGCUUUAGUGUCUUUCCGAGUACAGGAAGAUUCGGGAUUGCAACUUCUGUGGUAUUACGCAAAAAAGGUGUGAACAUA
RNAcentral lists this long non-coding RNA (217 nucleotides) under Setaria italica (foxtail millet). Its description in RNAcentral is "long non-coding RNA (SITA_LNC003017)". The record is from RNAcentral. Lineage: Eukaryota; Viridiplantae; Streptophyta; Magnoliopsida; Poales; Poaceae.